GCUCGGCGAGCUUUUGCAGCUCCUCAUACUUGCUGGAGAGCUCAGAACGUCCGGUCUCCAGCGGGACCUGGAACUUCAGGUUCUGCUCAGCAAGGCUGCGGUUGGCAGCGAGUGCCAUCUCCCUCUCCAGCUGCAGCUCCUGCACCUCCCUGGACUCCAGGGCCAAGCGCUCGAUCUCCGCAGCAUCCUCCUGCAGUGCCUGCAGCUCCUCCACAGUACGGUCCUUCAGGGUGUCCAUGCUCACGGCAGCCGUGGGCUCAGCGCACCCGGAAGGCCCGCUCGCUCGC
Molecule: long non-coding RNA, 287 nt
Filed under: Gallus gallus (chicken)
Lineage: Eukaryota; Metazoa; Chordata; Aves; Galliformes; Phasianidae
Source: RNAcentral